GGGCCCGCACAAGCAGUGGAGCAUGUGGUUUAAUUCGAAGCAACGCGAAGAACCUUACCAAGACUUGACAUCCCGCUGACCGGUCUAGAGAUAGACCUUCCCUUCGGGGCAGCGGUGACAGGUGGUGCAUGGUUGUCGUCAGCUCGUGUCGUGAGAUGUUGGGUUAAGUCCCGCAACGAGCGCAACCCCUAAAUUGUGUUGCCAUCAUUUAGUUGGGCACUCACAAUUGACUGCCGGUGACAAACCGGAGGAAGGCGGGGAUGACGUCAAAUCAUCAUGCCCCUUAUGUCUUGGGCUACACACGUGCUACAAUGGGCGGUACAAAGGGUUGCGAUGCCGCGAGGCGGAGCCAAUCCCAAAAAGCCGCUCACAGUUCGGAUUGCAGGCUGCAACUCGCCUGCAUGAAGCUGGAAUUGCUAGUAAUCGCGGAUCAGCAUGCCGCGGUGAAUUCGUUCCCGGGCCUU
RNAcentral lists this ribosomal RNA (464 nucleotides) under uncultured bacterium. RNAcentral describes it as "bacterial SSU rRNA". It matches the Rfam family "Bacterial small subunit ribosomal RNA", at positions 917 to 1382 of the family's 1533-position model. The record is from RNAcentral.